RNAcentral lists this ribosomal RNA (556 nucleotides) under uncultured bacterium. RNAcentral's name for it is "bacterial SSU rRNA". It matches the Rfam family "Bacterial small subunit ribosomal RNA", at positions 335 to 883 of the family's 1533-position model. The record is from RNAcentral.
ACUCCUACGGGAGGCAGCAGUGGGGAAUCUUGCGCAAUGGGCGAAAGCCUGACGCAGCGACGCCGCGUGGGUGAUGAAGGCCUUCGGGUUGUAAAGCCCUGUGGAGGGGGAAGAAUAAGUCAUGGCCAAUAUCCAUGGUGACGACGGUACCCCUUUAGCAAGCACCGGCUAACUCUGUGCCAGCAGCCGCGGUAAGACAGAGGGUGCAAACGUUGUUCGGAAUUACUGGGCGUAAAGCGCGUGUAGGCGGCUUGGCAAGUCGGGUGUGAAAGCCCUGGGCUCAACCCAGGAAGUGCACUCGAAACUGCUUCGCUCGAGUAUCGGAGAGGAAAGCGGAAUUCUCGGUGUAGAGGUGAAAUUCGUAGAUAUCGAGAGGAACACCGGUGGCGAAGGCGGCUUUCUGGACGAUUACUGACGCUGAGACGCGAAAGCGUGGGGAGCAAACAGGAUUAGAUACCCUGGUAGUCCACGCCGUAAACGAUGGGUGCUAGGUGUCGCGGGCUUUGACUCCCGCGGUGCCGUAGCUAACGCAUUAAGCACCCCGCCUGGGGAGUAC